Podarcis lilfordi (Lilford's wall lizard) is the source of this 179-nucleotide non-coding RNA. Lineage: Eukaryota; Metazoa; Chordata; Lepidosauria; Squamata; Lacertidae. The record is from the annotation of a GenBank genome assembly.
GGCUCUGUGGUUUAACCCACAGCGCCACCCGUGUUACCACAGUGCUAUUGUAUAUUUUUUUGGUAUGUUUUCAUCAUGUUUUAUUGCAUUGUAUAUAUUGCAAAUCACAAUGAGACUUUUAGUAUAAAGCAAUAUACUAUAAGGGACGCAGGUGGCGCUGUGGGUUAAUCCACAGAGCC